GACGAACGCUGGCGGCGUGCUUAACACAUGCAAGUCGAACGGUGAAGCGCCUUCCUUUUUGGUGGGUGUGGAUGAGUGGCGAACGGGUGAGUAACACGUGAGUAACCUGCCCCCUUCUUCUGGAUAACCGCAUGAAAGUGUGGCUAAUACGGGAUAUUCUGGGUCUGUCGCAUGAUGGGUCUGGGAAAGAUAUUGUUUCGGUGGGGGAUGGGCUCGCGGCCUAUCAGCUUGUUGGUGGGGUGAUGGCCUACCAAGGCGGUGACGGGUAGCCGGCCUGAGAGGGUGGGCGGUCACACUGGGACUGAGACACGGCCCAGACUCCGACGGGAGGCAGCAGUGGGGAAUAGUGCACAAUGGGCGCAAGCCUGAUGCAGCGACGCCGCGUGAGGGAUGGAGGCCUUCGGGUUGUGAACCUCUUUCGCCAGUGAAGCAGGCCUGCCUCGUUUGUGGGUGGGUUGACGGUAGCUGGAUAAGAAGCGCCGGCUAACUACGUG
RNAcentral lists this ribosomal RNA (494 nucleotides) under uncultured bacterium. Its description in RNAcentral is "partial 16S ribosomal RNA". It matches the Rfam family "Bacterial small subunit ribosomal RNA", at positions 28 to 507 of the family's 1533-position model. The record is from RNAcentral.